Long non-coding RNA from Felis catus (domestic cat), 1767 nucleotides. RefSeq lists it as uncharacterized. Lineage: Eukaryota; Metazoa; Chordata; Mammalia; Carnivora; Felidae. The transcript is spliced from 4 exons. The record is from RefSeq and is a predicted model, not a curated record.
AGAACCCUGAGCUAGGUAAGCUGCAUCUUUUAUAACAGGCAACGUUACCACCCUUGCUCCAGGGGAGAAGACUACCUGUACCUUCUAAGACUGUUCACUACACAAACACUGGAUAGUCCAGAACAAAGGGCAGUCAGUGCCUCAGAAAUAUGAAGGUCUCAUGGAGAAUUGUUUCCCAAUUAUUAAUGGGAAAAAAAGUCUAGAAAUUCAGCUGAUUUUUAAAGUCCCUAAAAUAUUGUCCAAUUUGCCUUUUCAAAGACGGUCCAACUAGUAUUCCUUUCCACAUACUCUGCCUGCAGGUAAACUGGUCUUUUUACUUCUUGAACAUAUCCAAUAUUGACCCAACUUCUAGGUUACAGAAAACAAACAAAAACCACAAAAAACUUCUUGCAAAUAAAAAUUAACACCACAAAUCUAAAUUCAUACUUUUAUUUUGUACAUCCUUCACGGUGAUGAUUCUUUUACACUAUGCUUAUCUAGCCUUUUGACAGGUUGCCUUGAAAGUGCUUUAAAUUCUUUACCAUAUAUAUUUACUGUUUCCAAAACAAAAUAGUGAGCUUCUUGGGAGUGUAAACUAUAUUUUUCCAUGAGUCAAUAUUCCUAAUUCAAUUCCUCUUCACAAAUGCUACCUACUCACUAAUAUAUAAUGCCACUGUCUUUAAGUUCCUGAUAAAUAUAUUCUAUAUGAGGAGGGAACGAAAGAUUCCUAUUUUUCCCACUGAGAUCCAGAAUUAAACAGUCAACAGACCAAAGUAGACCUCUGUAAUUCAAAUGUCACACUGCAAUUUCAAAUUGGCAGCCUUCCUUGAGUUUCAUUUUACUUGCCAAGGAAACAAUGAAGCGCUUAUUCUGAUGCCAGCAGAACUGUGGGAAGGGACAGAGAGAUUUGUAUUUCCCUGAAUUUAUAAUCUGCAGAAGAGAACAACUACAGGAACCAAAGUGGCACAUGUUAUACGAUUACUUUAAUAAUUCUAUAAUUCUACAACUAAUUGAAUCUUGGAAAAUACAAAGUGAUGCAUAUGAUUGCAAAAAUGCUAACCAGAAGUUAUAGAAAUGAAAAGAGAGAAUAAGUCUACUCCUUUCCUCACGGCUGUCUGGUGGUUCGUGGCAGCAAUUCUUUCUGACAAAGUCCUGCAGCACCAGGACUCAAAGUUAUGACUAAAAAGAAGUCAUGUCAAUGUCAGUGACCAAAUUCUUAUUGCUGAAGUCCAAAGAUUUUCAAGGAAUGAAGCAAUUCAAGCAAGCAACUCCCCUCUGUCAAUGUGACAAGUUCCAAGUUAGAAUCAACCUUGGAUGAUUUGACCCAAACCAGAAGCUAUCUAUCCUUCAGUAGACAAUGCUGAUCUAAGCGCUGGCUCUGGAAAUUAGUUGGAUGAACUCGGUUGUCCUGCAUUUAAUUAGAGGUUUUCCUGGCUGGCCCAGGGAAUGUCACAGGGGAUAUUGUGAAAUAAAAAUGAUUCUAACUUUGAAAUCACAAGAUGAUUCCAUAAAUGAUAAGAAAAGUGAGAAGCCAAGUGAUUGAUUACACAAUUCAGAAUUAACAAUGAUGUGUAAAUCAAUACAUUGUUCAAUUACAUAUAAAAUUAACUCAGUUAUUCAAGGACCAUUUACCCACUGGAUAACCAAUAUUGGUCCUUCUCACCUUCAUUAUGUCUGUUGGCCAUUUUUACUUUUCAUUAACAAAGAGGGAGAGAGUAAGUAAAAAAUAGGGGCAUACCACUUAAAUUGAUUUAACAUUAACACUAUUUGGUACUAUUAGUAAAAAAA